RNAcentral lists this ribosomal RNA (397 nucleotides) under uncultured bacterium. RNAcentral's name for it is "partial 16S ribosomal RNA". It matches the Rfam family "Bacterial small subunit ribosomal RNA", at positions 338 to 732 of the family's 1533-position model. The record is from RNAcentral.
CCUACGGGUGGCUGCAGUGAGGAAUAUUGGUCAAUGGUCGGGAGACUGAACCAGCCAUGCCGCGUGAGGGAUGAAGGUACAGAGUAUUGUAAACCUCUUUUGUAAGGGGACAAAGGCAGGGACGCGUAUCCGGCUGAGAGUAUCUGAAGAAUAAGCAUCGGCUAACUCCGUGCCAGCAGCCGCGGUAAUACGGAGGAUGCGAGCGUUAUCCGGAUUUAUUGGGUUUAAAGGGUGCGUAGGCGGUCGGGUAAGUUAGAGGUGAAAUCCCGGGGCUCAACUCCGGGACUGCCUCUGAUACUGGUCGUCUCGAGUGGAGGAGAGGUAGGCGGAAUGUGUGGUGUAGCGGUGAAAUGCAUAGAGAUCGUACAGAACACCGAUUGCGAAGGCAGCUUGCCGG